Molecule: non-coding RNA, 114 nt
Organism: Saccharomyces cerevisiae (brewer's yeast)
Lineage: Eukaryota; Fungi; Ascomycota; Saccharomycetes; Saccharomycetales; Saccharomycetaceae
Source: Rfam
UCAUAAUGAUGAUUUCACUUAUACCUAUAUGUUUUUUUCUGGCAUCUCUAAUGUUAGGAUGCGAAGUUUAAGUACUCUCCAUUCAAUGAAUACAAUUUUUGACAAUAUCUGAUU